AGCUCCAAUAGCGUAUAUUAAAGUUGUUGCGGUUAAAAAGCUCGUAGUUGGAUCUCUGCCAAGGACAACUGGUCCGCCCUCUGGGUGAGUACCUGGCUUGGCCUGGGCAUCUUCUUGGAGAACGCAGCUGCACUUGACUGUGUGGUGUGGUAUCCAGGGCCUUUACUUUGAGGAAAUUAGAGUGCUUCAAGCAGGCUUCUGCCUUGAAUACAUUAGCAUGGAAUAAUAAGAUAGGAUCGCAGCUCUAUUUUGUUGGCUUCUAGAGCUGAGGUGAUGAUAAAUAGGGAUAGUUGGGGGCAUUCGCAUUUGACUGUCAGAGGUGAAAUUCUUGGAUUUGUUGAAGACGAUCUGCUGCGAAAGCAUUUGCCAAGGAUGUUUUCAUUGAUCAAGAACGAAAGUA
This 400-nucleotide ribosomal RNA is filed under the name phytoplankton environmental sample. RNAcentral describes it as "partial small subunit ribosomal RNA". It matches the Rfam family "Eukaryotic small subunit ribosomal RNA", at positions 587 to 991 of the family's 1831-position model. The record is from RNAcentral.